This 106-nucleotide non-coding RNA is filed under the name Nonlabens dokdonensis. RNAcentral describes it as "SAM-I sequence". It matches the Rfam family "SAM riboswitch aptamer (S box leader)". From Rfam's summary of the family: The SAM riboswitch is found upstream of a number of genes which code for proteins involved in methionine or cysteine biosynthesis in Gram-positive bacteria. The SAM riboswitch acts at the level of transcription termination control. The predicted structure consists of a complex stem-loop region followed by a single stem loop terminator region. Lineage: Bacteria; Pseudomonadati; Bacteroidota; Flavobacteriia; Flavobacteriales; Flavobacteriaceae. The record is from RNAcentral.
ACGUUAUAAAGAAAGGUUGAGGGAUUAGACCCAUUGAAACCUUGGCAACCCUACAGUAUUGUAGAAGGUGCCUCAUUCUACCACCAUAUUUGUGGACAGAUAACAA